GAUGAACGCUGGCGGCGUGCCUAAUACAUGCAAGUCGAGCGAACGGACGAGAAGCUUGCUUCUCUGAUGUUAGCGGCGGACGGGUGAGUAACACGUGGAUAACCUACCUAUCAGACUGGGAUAACUUCGGGAAACCGGAGCUAAUACCGGAUAAUAUUUUGAACCGCAUGGUUCAAAAGUGAAAGACGGUCCUGCUGUCACUUAUAGAUGGAUCCGCGCUGCAUUAGCUAGUUGGUAAGGUAACGGCUUACCAAGGCAACGAUGCAUAGCCGACCUGAGAGGGUGAUCGGCCACACUGGAACUGAGACACGGUCCAGACUCCUACGGGAGGCAGCAGUAGGGAAUCUUCCGCAAUGGGCGAAAGCCUGACGGAGCAACGCCGCGUGAGUGAUGAAGGUCUUCGGAUCGUAAAACUCUGUUAUUAGGGAAGAACAUAUGUGUAAGUAACUGUGCACAUCUUGACGGUACCUAAUCAGAAAGCCACGGCUAACUACGUG
This 497-nucleotide ribosomal RNA is filed under the name uncultured bacterium. Its description in RNAcentral is "partial 16S ribosomal RNA". It matches the Rfam family "Bacterial small subunit ribosomal RNA", at positions 28 to 507 of the family's 1533-position model. The record is from RNAcentral.